UGCGUAGGCGGCGCGGUAAGUCGGGUGUGAAAUCUCGGAGCUUAACUCCGAAACUGCAUUCGAUACUGCCGUGCUUGAGGGCUGGAGAGGAGACUGGAAUUUACGGUGUAGCGGUGAAAUGCGUAGAUAUCGUAAGGAAGACCAGUGGCGAAGGCGGGUCUCUGGACAGUUCCUGACGCUGAGGCACGAAGUGGGAGGCAACG
This 203-nucleotide ribosomal RNA is filed under the name uncultured bacterium. Its description in RNAcentral is "partial 16S ribosomal RNA". It matches the Rfam family "Bacterial small subunit ribosomal RNA", at positions 568 to 770 of the family's 1533-position model. The record is from RNAcentral.